RNAcentral lists this ribosomal RNA (1374 nucleotides) under uncultured bacterium. RNAcentral describes it as "bacterial SSU rRNA". It matches the Rfam family "Bacterial small subunit ribosomal RNA", at positions 28 to 1381 of the family's 1533-position model. The record is from RNAcentral.
GAUGAACGCUAGCUACAGGCUUAACACAUGCAAGUCGAGGGGCAGCAUGGAAGAAGCUUGCUUUUCUGAUGUUAGCGGCGGACGGGUGAGUAACACGUGGAUAACCUACCUAUAAGACUGGGAUAACUUCGGGAAACCGGAGCUAAUACCGGAUAAUAUUUUGAACCGCAUGGUUCAAAAGUGAAAGACGGUCUUGCUGUCACUUAUAGAUGGAUCCGCGCUGCAUUAGCUAGUUGGUAAGGUAACGGCUUACCAAGGCAACGAUGCAUAGCCGACCUGAGAGGGUGAUCGGCCACACUGGAACUGAGACACGGUCCAGACUCCUACGGGAGGCAGCAGUAGGGAAUCUUCCGCAAUGGGCGAAAGCCUGACGGAGCAACGCCGCGUGAGUGAUGAAGGUCUUCGGAUCGUAAAACUCUGUUAUUAGGGAAGAACAUAUGUGUAAGUAACUGUGCACAUCUUGACGGUACCUAAUCAGAAAGCCACGGCUAACUACGUGCCAGCAGCCGCGGUAAUACGUAGGUGGCAAGCGUUAUCCGGAAUUAUUGGGCGUAAAGCGCGCGUAGGCGGUUUUUUAAGUCUGAUGUGAAAGCCCACGGCUCAACCGUGGAGGGUCAUUGGAAACUGGAAAACUUGAGUGCAGAAGAGGAAAGUGGAAUUCCAUGUGUAGCGGUGAAAUGCGCAGAGAUAUGGAGGAACACCAGUGGCGAAGGCGACUUUCUGGUCUGUAACUGACGCUGAUGUGCGAAAGCGUGGGGAUCAAACAGGAUUAGAUACCCUGGUAGUCCACGCCGUAAACGAUGAGUGCUAAGUGUUAGGGGGUUUCCGCCCCUUAGUGCUGCAGCUAACGCAUUAAGCACUCCGCCUGGGGAGUACGACCGCAAGGUUGAAACUCAAAGGAAUUGACGGGGACCCGCACAAGCGGUGGAGCGUGUGGUUUAAUUCGAAGCAACGCGAAGAACCUUACCAAAUCUUGACAUCCUUUGACAACUCUAGAGAUAGAGCCUUCCCCUUCGGGGGACAAAGUGACAGGUGGUGCAUGGUUGUCGUCAGCUCGUGUCGUGAGAUGUUGGGUUAAGUCCCGCAACGAGCGCAACCCUUAAGCUUAGUUGCCAUCAUUAAGUUGGGCACUCUAAGUUGACUGCCGGUGACAAACCGGAGGAAGGUGGGGAUGACGUCAAAUCAUCAUGCCCCUUAUGAUUUGGGCUACACACGUGCUACAAUGGACAAUACAAAGGGCAGCGAAACCGCGAGGUCAAGCAAAUCCCAUAAAGUUGUUCUCAGUUCGGAUUGUAGUCUGCAACUCGACUACAUGAAGCUGGAAUCGCUAGUAAUCGUAGAUCAGCAUGCUACGGUGAAUACGUUCCCGGGUCU